CCUACGGGUGGCAGCAGUGAGGAAUAUUGGUCAAUGGGCGGGAGCCUGAACCAGCCAAGUCGCGUGAAGGAAGAAGGUACUUAGUAUUGUAAACUUCUUUUGUCGGGGAACAAAGGCGGAGACGCGUCUCCGGAUGAGUGUACCCGAAGAAAAAGCAUCGGCAAACUCCGUGCCAGCCGCCGCGGUAAUACGGAGGAUGCGAGCGUUAUCCGGAUUUAUUGGGUUUAAAGGGUGCGCAGGCGGGAGAUCAAGUAAUCGGUAAAAUGUCGGGGCUCAACCCCGGCCGGCCGUUGAAACUGGUUGUCUAGAGUUGGAUAGAGGUAUGCAGAAUUCGUGGUGUAGCGAUGAAAUGCAUAGAUAUCACGAAGAACACCGAUUGCGAAGGCAGCAUACCGGCUCCAUACUGACGCUGAGGCACGAAAGCGUGGGGAGCGAACAGGAUUAGAUACCCCGGUAGUC
Molecule: ribosomal RNA, 459 nt
Filed under: uncultured bacterium
Lineage: Bacteria
Description: partial 16S ribosomal RNA
Rfam family: Bacterial small subunit ribosomal RNA
Source: RNAcentral